GAUGAAGAACGCAGCGAAAUGCGAUAAGUAAUGUGAAUUGCAGAAUUCAGUGAAUCAUCGAAUCUUUGAACGCAUCUUGCGCUCCUUGGUAUUCCGAGGAGCAUGCCUGUUUGAGUGUCAUUAAAUUCUCAACUACACUGAUUUUUUUUGGUUGGUGUAGAUUGGAUUUGGGGGUAUUUUUUGCGGGCUUUGUAAAAUGAAGUCGGCUCCCCUGAAAUUAAUUAGUGGUACCUUAGUAGAACUGUCUACAGGUGUGAUAAUUAUCUACAUCUUAGACAUCUGCUGGAAUGCUGCUUUCUAAACCUUACUUGUAUUGACAAUCUUGACCUCAAAUCAGGUAGGACUACCCGCUGAACUUAAGCAUAUCAAUAAGCGGAGGA
RNAcentral lists this unclassified non-coding RNA (380 nucleotides) under soil metagenome. Its description in RNAcentral is "partial contains 5.8S ribosomal RNA, internal transcribed spacer 2, and large subunit ribosomal RNA". The stretch from base 1 to 120 matches the Rfam family "5.8S ribosomal RNA", at positions 35 to 154 of the family's 154-position model. The record is from RNAcentral.